Molecule: long non-coding RNA, 215 nt
Filed under: Lathyrus oleraceus (garden pea)
Lineage: Eukaryota; Viridiplantae; Streptophyta; Magnoliopsida; Fabales; Fabaceae
Description: Pisum sativum (pea) long non-coding RNA (PSAT_LNC004003)
Source: RNAcentral
AAACCAUAUGAGCUUCUGACGCUUGAAUGUAUGGUUCAUUAUCUUCAUGUUCUUCGGUAUGUAGUAGUCUUGCAAAGUUUAUAGAGGUAAAAUCCAACUUAUCUAUCUUAAUGCCUCUUAUAUUUGUGGUAUUAGGCCAUUCACAUUUAAACAUGGGCACUGUGAAGUCAUAAUGGGAAAGCACAAUAAUGUCUAUCAAUCUUAUAGAGUAAGGA